Molecule: ribosomal RNA, 505 nt
Filed under: uncultured bacterium
Lineage: Bacteria
Description: bacterial SSU rRNA
Rfam family: Bacterial small subunit ribosomal RNA
Source: RNAcentral
GAUGAACGCUAGCGGCAGGCUUAACACAUGCAAGUCGAGGGGUAACAGGGAUUGCUUGCAAUCCGCUGACGACCGGCGAACGGGUGCGUAACGCGUAUGCAACCUACCUUUUACAGGGGAAUAGCCCAAAGAAAUUUGGAAUAAUACCCCAUACGAUCUACAAUUGGCAUCAAUUGAAGAGGAAAACUCCGGUGGUAAAAGAUGGGCAUGCGUCCUAUUAGUUAGUUGGUAAGGUAAAGGCUUACCAAGACUUCGAUAGGUAGGGGUCCUGAGAGGGAGAUCCCCCACACUGGUACUGAGACACGGACCAGACUCCUACGGGAGGCAGCAGUGAGGAAUAUUGGACAAUGGAGGCAACUCUGAUCCAGCCAUGCCGCGUGCAGGAAGACGGCCCUACGGGUUGUAAACUGCUUUUAUACAGGAAGAAUUGUACCUACGUGUAGGUAUUUGACGGUACUGUAAGAAUAAGGAUCGGCUAACUCCGUGCCAGCCGCCGCCGUAAAAC